This is a non-coding RNA of Pelobates cultripes (western spadefoot toad), 464 nucleotides long. The record is from the annotation of a GenBank genome assembly. NCBI's taxonomy places the organism in Eukaryota, Metazoa, Chordata, Amphibia, Anura, Pelobatidae.
UGCAUCCCUUACAUACACAGAAACACACUUUGCAUCCCUUAUGCAUACAAACACAGAUUCACACAAUGCAUCCCUUACACACAACAAGAAACACACAAUACAUCCCUUAUACACACACACACUGCUUCCACUACACACAAACACACUGCAUCACCUACACAAACUGGUAUCCCCUAUACACUACAUUCCGUAAGCACACACAUUAGAUCCUCUACAGUAACACAUAACACAUCCCCUACACACUCUACUCCCUGUGAGCGGACUCAUGGGUGGAACAUGUAGGUGGACUUAUGGGUGGGUUUUAUGGGCAUACUCACCGUCAGGCCCUGGGGCCCAGACCUUGAGCUAUGUAAGAGGCCCCAAAAAAAUGGAGCUGCUUCCCGUUCUCCCAGAACAUUGAAUUUUGUGACCACAGUUACAAACAGCCUCCAGAGAUCCUGUUCUACACCAGACCAGUGGAGCCA